This 431-nucleotide ribosomal RNA is filed under the name uncultured bacterium. Its description in RNAcentral is "bacterial SSU rRNA". It matches the Rfam family "Bacterial small subunit ribosomal RNA", at positions 96 to 524 of the family's 1533-position model. The record is from RNAcentral.
CGGCGGACGGGUGAGUAACGCGUAGGAAUCUGCCCAGUAGCGGGGGAUAGCCCGAGGAAACUCGGAUUAAUACCGCAUACGCCCUACGGGGGAAAGGCCGGGAUCUUCGGACCGGUCACUAUUGGAGGAGCCUGCGUUGGAUUAGCUAGUUGGUGGGGUAAAAGCUCACCAAGGCGACGAUCCAUAGCUGGUCUGAGAGGACGAUCAGCCACACUGGGACUGAGACACGGCCCAGACUCCUACGGGAGGCAGCAGUAGGGAAUAUUGCACAAUGGAGGAAACUCUGAUGCAGCCAUGCCGCGUGUGUGAAGAAGGCCCUAGGGUUGUAAAGCACUUUCAGUGGGGAGGAAUUAGCCUGGCUAAUAACCAGGUGAAAUGACGUUACCCACAGAAGAAGCACCGGCUAACUCCGUGCCAGCAGCCGCGGUAAU